CCUACGGGAGGCAGCAGUGAGGAAUAUUGGUCAAUGGACGAGAGUCUGAACCAGCCAAGUAGCGUGAAGGAUGACUGCCCUAUGGGUUGUAAACUUCUUUUAUCUGGGAAUAAAAUGUUCCACGUGUGGGCUUUUGUAUGUACCAUAUGAAUAAGGAUCGGCUAACUCCGGGCCAGCAGCCGCGGUAAUACGGAGGAUCCGAGCGUUAUCCGGAUUUAUUGGGUUUAAAGGGAGCGUAGGUGGGUUGUUAAGUCAGUUGUGAAAGUUUGGGGCUCAACCGUAAAAUUGCAGUUGAAACUGGCAGUCUUGAGUACAGUAGAGGUGGGCGGAAUGCGUGGUGUAGCGGUGAAAUGCUUAGAUAUCACGAAGAACUCCGAUUGCGAAGGCAGCUCACUGGACUGCAACUGACACUGAGGCUCGAAAGUGUGGGUAUCAAACAGGAUUAGAUACCCGAGUAGUC
RNAcentral lists this ribosomal RNA (460 nucleotides) under uncultured bacterium. Its description in RNAcentral is "partial 16S ribosomal RNA". It matches the Rfam family "Bacterial small subunit ribosomal RNA", at positions 338 to 795 of the family's 1533-position model. The record is from RNAcentral.